AGUGAACGCUGGCGGUAGGCCUAACACAUGCAAGUCGAACGGCAGCACAGUAAGAGCUUGCUCUUACGGGUGGCGAGUGGCGGACGGGUGAGGAAUACAUCGGAAUCUACUUUUUCGUGGGGGAUAACGUAGGGAAACUUACGCUAAUACCGCAUACGACCUACGGGUGAAAGCAGUGGAUCUUCGGACCUUGCGCGAUUGAAUGAGCCGAUGUCGGAUUAGCUAGUUGGCGGGGUAAAGGCCCACCAAGGCGACGAUCCGUAGCUGGUCUGAGAGGAUGAUCAGCCACACUGGAACUGAGACACGGUCCAGACUCCUACGGGAGGCAGCAGUGGGGAAUAUUGGACAAUGGGCGCAAGCCUGAUCCAGCCAUACCGCGUGGGUGAGGAAGGCCUUCGGGUUGUAAAGCCCUUUUGUUGGGAAAGAAAAGCAGCAGGUUAAUACCCCGCUGUUCUGACGGUACCCAAAGAAUAAGCACCGGCUAACUUCGUG
RNAcentral lists this ribosomal RNA (492 nucleotides) under uncultured bacterium. Its description in RNAcentral is "partial 16S ribosomal RNA". It matches the Rfam family "Bacterial small subunit ribosomal RNA", at positions 29 to 507 of the family's 1533-position model. The record is from RNAcentral.